GCAGGGCGCGCGUGUGUCUAACACGCAGCGGGGGAGCGCUGCCUGGGCGCAGCCCGAAGCGGUGCGCGCUGCCCCGAGCCUUUCGGCGGCACCCAGCGCCCUGCCCUCCCGCUGCGGGCUCGCCCGGCACAGCGCCCCGUCCUGCCCCGCUCCCCUCAGAUCCGGCGCUUCCUCUUCUCGGCUACCGUGCAAUUCAAACAAUCCUACGUUCUCAUUUCCCAGGGCGGUUUGCCGCGAAGUACGUGGGUAGGAGAGGGGGCUGCUGCGCUCUUUAUUUAUUAUUUAUUUACUGUCGUUCUUUGGAGCGAUGUUCCCCGGGAGCACGCUGUCUCGCUGCUCUCCCGUCCCCCUUCGGCAGGCUUUGCAUUGCCGUUAGCAGCGGGGCGGGGGUGCCCGCCGUGCCGGCAAUCCACCGCUUCGUAGCAUCACCCAGCGAGACCGAACCGCUCCGAAACUCGGCCGCGGGCGCAGGGCAGGCAACGCUCCCUCGGAGGCCACGAGCCUCACAGGGGCACGGCGGCAGACGGAAGGAGGGAGCGGCCCCCCCGCGCCUCCUCACACAGCGCCCCGCGCCCGCUGCCCGCCCCGCCCGAGGAGCGGCGCGUUGACAGCGCCGGGGCACGGGCCGGCGACACUCCAAACCCGAGAGGAAAACCCGGCAUCGCACCCCGAGCGACAGGGCGAACACCGCCCCUCGCGGCCCGCUCCCGCACGGCGCCCCGGGGGUGUGAGGGGCGGAGGCGCGUUUCCCUCAGCGAGGCGGGGCCAGGAGCAACAGGCCGCGCUCAGCCCACCCGCCCCCCUUCGCCACGCGCGGCGCCUCAUGGGAACGCGAGUUCCGGCGCGGCCGCCGCUGGCCGAGCAGGCGGGAAGCGGCGGGAGAGGGCGACUACAGCUCCCGGGGUGCUUCGCGGCGCCGCGCCGGGCGGUUGCUGUGGUGACAGUCCUGCGGCGCGGGCGGAGGUGUAAUGGCCGCGCGCGAGCGGGGCAGGUGCGCGCGGCCGUGCACGGGGCGCUGCGUGCUUCCCGCCCUUUUGGCGGCGGCUCCCGGUGCCCCUCAGGCGAGCUCGGCCUCGAAGGCUCGGCCCUGCGUGGGGAGCGGCGGUGAAACCCGGCGUCCCGCUGGUUCCCCCCUACAGCAGGGUUUCCAAGAAGGCAAUAGAAAGGAUAUCCAACCUCAACAAGUGCUUUUGUUGCCAAUGCCUACUGCAGAGGAGAGUGAGGAAGCUGCCAAGAACAGUUUCAGAAUGGAUGAAGGCCCUUAACCAGUGGUACCCCAAGAGUCAGGUCUAAAGACUGUGGUCAUGAGCAGGCAUGCACAGACCAACUAUCCCCAUUUUUGCCUUCAAAUGUUUUCCAAGUUUUAACUGUUCAUGAGAGGCUGUUCUUGCCUUGUUCAGGUGUGACGACCGAGAAGCACAGGCUCUCCCCCUUGGGCUGCUCUGUUCUCUGGGCGCACACUGCAUAUGCUGCAUUAUGACACACUGCAGAUGUGGUCACGUGGGCUUCGUGAAGCUGCUCUGCUGCCUUGGCUACACAGAGUGACUCAGAUAUCAGCCCAAUAGUUACUAAGGUACUUGCAGCCACACCACAGUUCCUGCCUGGCAACAGCUCAGCUCACAGAUAUCUACAUGGGAGGAGCAGGGGAGAAGAAAUUGUCAUCAAGCUACUGAAAAUAACAAUGUAUGUGAAUUCUACUGUUUCAACUGUUAAGUGCUAACAAACAGACUUCAGUGCUGUCAGGGCUCCUCGGGACAUCUGAGAUUAAAGAAAUCAAAGGAGGAAUUUGCUGGCCAGGUCGCUAAUGAGUUUGCAAACCCAAGCUGCUUAGGAGGAAGUGAAAUGAAUAGCCAAAUGAAAUGCACCACAGGCAACACAUUGUGGCAAUUUGGGAACUAGGAUAACCUUAAUACAACUGCCAAGUGCUAAACAUCUUCAAUCCACCAACAGGAGCCAGACAUGCAUCAUUACAAUCAGAAAGGCUUUACUGCUAUUCCUAACAUGGAUGUGUUCUCCUUCUGCCCAACUACAAAAUCAGCUUAGUUUGCGAAUAAACUUGUUUUGGUUGACUGCGUAUAGAACAGAGAGAUCUAUUGGGCAUGGGAAUCUGGGUGUCUACCCGUGGGGAAUUUGUUAUUAAACAAAUAUCUAUGAGAUCAGAGGAGUCAAACACCAGUCUUGCUGAAAAACAAGUGGACUGCAAGUGGGUAGCUGCAGGUACAAUUCAAGUUCCGAUGCUGUACUCUUCUGGAUUAGGAAUACAGUACUUCUUACCUGAAUUAUAUUCUGCUUGACCUCAGAAUUCAUAGGCGUGAUAUCAGCCCACAGGAAAGCAAGCUGAACUUCAUCUGGCUGAGAGCUGCAGCUCCUCUUGUUGUCAGGAUGCCCUCUGUUGCUCAGACUACAGGUAGAGCUGCAGUGUCAGAAGAGCCGAAUUCUGCUUUCUUCAGUAGUUUUGCAACAUUAAGUACAUCAUUUAGCAGAGCCUGAUUUUCUGAGGUGCUCUCUGUUUAUUAUGCACCUCUGUUUAUGUAUUUGGAAUGAAAGUGUCUAGUGUUUGUUUCAACUAAUUGUAAGUUUCUGUUCUAACUCAGCUGUGCUUAGUCAAGGUAGAAAAAACCCAAACAUCCACAAAUAAAAGGCAACACUGUAUCAUACCUGCACGCUAUUUAUUAUAACAGGAUAUUCAUAAGGACCCUACACGUUUUAAGUCUAUUCUCUGCAAACUCACUCAUAAAAAAGAGAACACAUCGAAGUGAAAAACAGCCUAAAACAGCAUUUCACAGGAACAGAAUUUAGUCAUACAUUUCAUUUACUUCACUGUUAAUCUUCCUCAUACAGUGUGGAUCCCUACAACAGAACAUAUUCUCUAUGAAGAACAGAUGGGUUAAUAGAUCAUUUGCAUCAAUCUAAAAGAAAACCCUCCUACUCAACAUAUGCUUAGUUCCCACGGAUAAAAAGUUUGGGGAUUUUCAUCCUCAUUGCACUUCAUUCAUGAGAACAUGGGAAGGACUCUUCAGGUGCAGCUCUCUGAGUACCUAUGCAGCUUUGAUUUCAAUAUAAGGUGCUCACCAAGACAACAGGAGGGCAGGCAUUCCUUACUAGGGAAUUAUUUCUUUGUAACAGUGAGAGCAACAUAGGCUGAAAAGCGGUUGGCUUCAAUUCGUUUUCUUUGGAAAACUCUAAAAUUCACCUUUUAUAUUACUUUUACAAUACAUCUCCAGAGGAAACACAAGCAACUUAAAAAUUGUUACCUUGCCAAACCUACUAAGAAAGGAAACUACUAUAGUGUUAAGCUGUACUACAAAUCCUCUUUCUUCAAUGCGUUAAUCAGAAGAAUUAUAAUGUUUCAUCCACCAAGGGGUCUAACUACAUAUAGAAGUGGCUAUAUUACUUCCUGAAUUGUACCACUACAGUGGCCAAAACCAGAAGUAGUGAAAACUUGCCCCAGUUUCAGUCUCAUUUCCAUCAUCCAUACUUACAGUCCUUUCUUCUUCCUCUGAUAUUAUUCAGCAGGCUCUUCACAUAAUUAAAAUGAGACUUCCCCAUCCUUCCUCCAUUCAAAAAGGCAACCAUUCUGAAACUAGUGUAACCACAACACAAGAGGGCUGCUCCGGGCUUCUGCAAUGGCUCUAGCCCCUGUUAAGUGCCCCGUCCCCUUCACUGAAACAGCUCUGCUGAAGGUGCUCGAGAUCUAACCAGGAGGGAACCACGCUAAGCCAAGCCUUGCCUUUUCUGACCUGGCCUCGUCAGAGGAUGCUCUUCCUGUCCCACCAGUUCUCUCUGCAUGGAAAUUGCACCCAAAAGGGAAAGCAGGUGAGACUUAGAAGAAUUCACUCAAGCUCCUCAGCAACUUGAAAUCGGUUCCUAAGCAGAAAGGACUUCUACUCAAAUACUGUUCAAGAACAACUUAAAGAGGCAAGACAAAGAAGAAAAACAGAAUUCUGAAGGUGUGAUCAAAAACGUCACUGCCCUGUUACACACAACAGGUAGUUAAGACUGAUCUGCUAAAUAUUACUUGCCUAUUUUAUUAGCUUCACUGAAGUGACACACAGUAAGGCAUCAACAAAGUUUUGUAUUUUGAUCAACAAAGACAACUUUCAUAUUCUAACAUUACACCUCAGCUUUUUGUAUUAUAUGAAAUUUUUACAUUUACAAGACUGGUGGUAAUCCUACAUUUCACUAGUAGACUGGAACAAUGAAAUAUUAAAGGAGUAAAAACUAACGUGCAUGAAUAUUUAGUCGCUUAAUAACCCAAGACUUUAGAAAACAAAGAAAACCCAGAGCACACAGUACAUUCCAUGGACAGAAUUAAGAUGCUGCACUGAUCACAUGUUCACGGAACUGGUUUAGAAACAUGCUAGUUUGCACUGUAUUUGCUUUCCAUCUGAAGUUAUAUUUGAGUGUAUUUUAAUAAUCAUGAAAAUUUAAAUUAAAAAAGUUUUCUGUA
Long non-coding RNA from Numida meleagris (helmeted guineafowl), 4450 nucleotides. RefSeq lists it as uncharacterized. NCBI's taxonomy places the organism in Eukaryota, Metazoa, Chordata, Aves, Galliformes, Numididae. The transcript has 5 exons. The record is from RefSeq and is a predicted model, not a curated record.